RNAcentral lists this transfer RNA (63 nucleotides) under Acerentomon microrhinus. RNAcentral's name for it is "tRNA-Phe". The record is from RNAcentral. Lineage: Eukaryota; Metazoa; Arthropoda; Protura; Acerentomata; Acerentomidae.
AUUUAGUUAUCUUAAUCAAAAGUCUAAUAUUGAAGAUAUUAUUAUAAAUAAAUUUACUAAAUA